UACGGGGGGGGCAAGCGUUGUUCGGAAUUACUGGGCGUAAAGGGCUCGUAGGCGGCCAACUAAGUCAAACGUGAAAUCCCUCGGCUUAACCGGGGAACUGCGCUUGAUACUGGAUGGCUUGAGAUUGGGAGAGGGAUGCGGAAUUCCAGGUGUAGCGGUGAAAUGCGUAGAUAUACGGAGGAACACCAGCGGCGAAGGCGGGUAGCUGGGCCAACACUGACGCUGAUGCGCGAAAGCUAGGGUAGCAAACGGG
This 253-nucleotide ribosomal RNA is filed under the name uncultured prokaryote. RNAcentral's name for it is "partial 16S ribosomal RNA". It matches the Rfam family "Bacterial small subunit ribosomal RNA", at positions 524 to 776 of the family's 1533-position model. The record is from RNAcentral.